GACGAACGCUGGCGGCGUGCCUAAUACAUGCAAGUAGAACGCACAGUUUAUACCGUAGCUUGCUACACCAUAGACUGUGAGUUGCGAACGGGUGAGUAACGCGUAGGUAACCUGCCUGGUAGCGGGGGAUAACUAUUGGAAACGAUAGCUAAUACCGCAUAAUAUUGAUUAUUGCAUGAUAAUUGAUUGAAAGAUGCUAUUGCAUCACUACCAGAUGGACCUGCGUUGUAUUAGCUAGUAGGUGAGGUAACGGCUCACCUAGGCGACGAUACAUAGCCGACGUGAGAGGGUGAUCGGCCACACUGGGACUGAGACACGGCCCAGACUCCUACGGGAGGCAGCAGUAGGGAAUCUUCGGCAAUGGACGAAAGUCUGACCGAGCAACGCCGCGUGAGUGAAGAAGGUUUUCGGAUCGUAAAGCGCUGUUGUAAGAGAAGAACGGGUGUGAGAGUGGAAAGUUCACACUGUGACGGUAUCUUACCAGAAAGGGACGGCUAACUACGUG
This 505-nucleotide ribosomal RNA is filed under the name uncultured bacterium. RNAcentral's name for it is "partial 16S ribosomal RNA". It matches the Rfam family "Bacterial small subunit ribosomal RNA", at positions 28 to 507 of the family's 1533-position model. The record is from RNAcentral.